Molecule: ribosomal RNA, 253 nt
Filed under: uncultured bacterium
Lineage: Bacteria
Description: partial 16S ribosomal RNA
Rfam family: Bacterial small subunit ribosomal RNA
Source: RNAcentral
UACGUAGGUGGCAAGCGUUAUCCGGAUUUAUUGGGUGUAAAGGGCGUGUAGGCGGGAAUGCAAGUCAGAUGUGAAAACCCAGGGCUCAACCCUGAGCCUGCAUUUGAAACUGUAUUUCUUGAGUGCUGGAGAGGCAAUCGGAAUUCCGUGUGUAGCGGUGAAAUGCGUAGAUAUACGGAGGAACACCAGUGGCGAAGGCGGAUUGCUGGACAGUAACUGACGCUGAGGCGCGAAAGCGUGGGGAGCAAACAGG